RNAcentral lists this ribosomal RNA (440 nucleotides) under uncultured bacterium. Its description in RNAcentral is "partial 16S ribosomal RNA". It matches the Rfam family "Bacterial small subunit ribosomal RNA", at positions 338 to 795 of the family's 1533-position model. The record is from RNAcentral.
CCUACGGGAGGCAGCAGUAGGGAAUAUUGCUCAAUGGGGGAAACCCUGAAGCAGCAACGCCGCGUGGAGGAUGAAGGUUUUCGGAUUGUACACUCCUUUUGUUAGAGAAGAUAAUGACGGUAUCUAACGAAUAAGCACCGGCUAACUCCGUGCCAGCAGCCGCCGUAAUACGGAGGGUGCAAGCGUUACUCGGAAUCACUGGGCGUAAAGAGCGCGUAGGCGGGAUAGCAAGUCAGAUGGUAAAUCCUAUGGCUUAACCAUAGAACUGCAUUUGAAACUGUUAUUCUAGAGUAUGGGAGAGGUAGGUGGAAUGCUUGGUGUAGGGGUAAAAUCCGUAGAGAUCAAGAGGAAUACUCAUUGCGAAGGCGACCUGCUAGAACAUAACUGACGCUGAUGCGCGAAAGCGUGGGUAGCAAACAGGAUUAGAUACCCCUGUAGUC